CCGGUAAACGGCGGCCGUAACUAUAACGGUCCUAAGGUAGCGAAAUUCCUUGUCGGGUAAGUUCCGACCUGCACGAAUGGCGUAAUGAUGGCCAGGCUGUCUCCACCCGAGACUCAGUGAAAUUGAACUCGCUGUGAAGAUGCAGUGUACCCGCGGCAAGACGGAAAGACCCCGUGAACCUUUACUAUAGCUUGACACUGAACAUUGAGCCUUGAUGUGUAGGAUAGGUGGGAGGCUUUGAAGUGUGGACGCCAGUCUGCAUGGAGCCGACCUUGAAAUACCACCCUUUAAUGUUUGAUGUUCUAACGUUGGCCCGU
Molecule: ribosomal RNA, 317 nt
Filed under: Escherichia coli
Lineage: Bacteria; Pseudomonadati; Pseudomonadota; Gammaproteobacteria; Enterobacterales; Enterobacteriaceae
Description: partial 23S ribosomal RNA
Rfam family: Bacterial large subunit ribosomal RNA
Source: RNAcentral